Molecule: non-coding RNA, 32 nt
Filed under: Rattus norvegicus (Norway rat)
Lineage: Eukaryota; Metazoa; Chordata; Mammalia; Rodentia; Muridae
Source: RNAcentral
UAGCAACCUAGGAAUAAACAAGCAUGGGCAAC